ACAGCUCAAAAGCUACGAGGCUCACCACGCACAAGAUACGUCUCGCACGCGUCUUCCCUUCUGAGCGGGAUAAGGUCUGAGCGUUCCAAUCUCCCUCGAUCGUCCCUAGAUGGGACCAGUCUUCAUGGACUGAGCGACGUACCAGAAAAACAGUUGCGCAAUUGUCCAACUUUGAAAGGCGUCGUGGAGAUCGGGUGGGUGGACUUUUUUUCUUUCCUUACCAUCAUACGCAGAUCGGUGUGGGCGCACAACUGUGGUCGCUGCUUCAGCUCAGUGCUGAUUCAGCAGUGUGGAUCGAUUGGCACCUUGGGAUACGUACCUGAGGAGAGGAGCAGCACAGCCAUAUAGCUGAUCGCUGAACGGGCCAGAGAGCCCACCCGUUAACGGGAUUAUGAAUCUCAGGCGAAAAAUCAUCCGCCGAUGGGGAGAAUUCCCCGAGUGACGCUACCGUCACCCUCUGUGAUCACACAUCACCUGGACUUGUAGAAGUCCCCUGACAUAUUUGUCAGUACUGGGAAAUCCAGUCAGCCUUGUCAAUCCCGGCCGCGUUGUCCCUGCACUGUAUCAACCAGUGUCACAACCGUCGUACCACAUCGGAGCGAUGGGUGUGUGCCGUAUGAGGAGAGGAGCCGAUCUGUCGUCUUGGUAUAGGACCACCUAUCCUUUAGUUCACUUCGUGGCUCGCAGUCCUUUGUUGGCUGCGAAACUCGAUUCAGACUACUCUUGAACUGU
RNAcentral lists this RNase P RNA (732 nucleotides) under Paxillus involutus ATCC 200175. RNAcentral describes it as "Nuclear RNase P". It matches the Rfam family "Nuclear RNase P". Rfam says of the family: Ribonuclease P (RNase P) is a ubiquitous endoribonuclease, found in archaea, bacteria and eukarya as well as chloroplasts and mitochondria. Its best characterised activity is the generation of mature 5'-ends of tRNAs by cleaving the 5'-leader elements of precursor-tRNAs. Lineage: Eukaryota; Fungi; Basidiomycota; Agaricomycetes; Boletales; Paxillaceae. The record is from Rfam by way of RNAcentral.